AUAUUUUAAAUUGCACCCGUUCUGGUGUGAGGGCGAAGGCGAGUGAAAGAAGGUGACUGAGCCAGGAGGAGAGCACAGAUGGCUUGGUGGUGGUAUGGUGUGCUCCAUCGGCUGCCAACCUAGGGCCAUCGUCUGCCUCCAUCACCCCUCCGCCCGCCCGCCUACCCACCCAAUCCCAAACGGGUGCUGGAUCAGGUGCUGAAUCCGGCUGCCUCCUCGGGUCCUCCUUCCCCUUCCCUCUUAGGCAUGGGGAGUGGAGCAACAGACGGAGAGUGGCAUGAAGACACAAAGGAGGAAGCACACCAUUGCCAAGACCCCAAGGAAGAAGGAUGGAAAGCGCUGGCAGUCCUGCCUGGCCCCCAGCCAGUUCCCUGCUGAAGAUGGCCAGAUCCCCUUGUCUGGUCUGUAUAUGCCACUUUUGCUGGGGUGGAAGGAGGGAAGGGCUGGCUUGCUGAGCUGGGCUCUAGAAUGGGAAGGGUACCUUUCUGCAGAUCCCAUUUGGACUCUCCACUUGAACAAGUGAGGUGUCUGAUUUUCU
Long non-coding RNA from Homo sapiens (human), 538 nucleotides. Ensembl annotates it as ZFHX2 antisense RNA 1. Its record names the gene ZFHX2-AS1. Lineage: Eukaryota; Metazoa; Chordata; Mammalia; Primates; Hominidae. The record is from Ensembl.